CCCGGGCCUUGUACACACCGCCCGUCACACCACGAAAGUUGACUUCACCAGAAGUCGGUGUCCUAACCGUAAGGAGGGAGCCGCCCAAGGUGAGGUCGAUGAUUGGGGUG
RNAcentral lists this ribosomal RNA (110 nucleotides) under uncultured bacterium. RNAcentral's name for it is "partial 16S ribosomal RNA". It matches the Rfam family "Bacterial small subunit ribosomal RNA", at positions 1373 to 1482 of the family's 1533-position model. The record is from RNAcentral.